GUAAAUUCUGUGAUAGGAAGAGUACGCUCUUUGACCAUUUUCAGAGAGUCGCCGGCAGCUGCGAGGCGACAGAUGGAGAAGAGGGGAAGAUCAUCCUUUGAGAAGCGUCGUUGAAAUCAGUAGACGUCGUCGGUGCCGUGGCCGUUACUCACGUAGAUCAAAGUGCCGCAUCCGUGCGGAAUUUGGGUGGUACCGCGGAAACGACUCCGUCCCUUUU
RNAcentral lists this non-coding RNA (217 nucleotides) under Salimicrobium flavidum. Its description in RNAcentral is "T-box sequence". It matches the Rfam family "T-box leader". From Rfam's summary of the family: Uncharged tRNA acts as the effector for transcription antitermination of genes in the T-box leader family. T-boxes are found upstream of many aminoacyl-tRNA synthetase genes and some amino acid biosynthetic genes usually in Gram-positive bacteria. The record is from RNAcentral. Lineage: Bacteria; Bacillati; Bacillota; Bacilli; Caryophanales; Bacillaceae.